GAUGAAGAACGCAGCGAAAUGCGAUACGUAGUGUGAAUUGCAGAAUUCAGUGAAUCAUCGAAUCUUUGAACGCACAUUGCACCUCUCGGUAUUCCGGGAGGUAUGCCUGUUCGAGCGUCAUUUGUACCCUCAAGCUCUGCUUGGUGUUGGGUGUUUGUUCCGCCUCUGUGUGUGAACUCGCCUCAAAACAAUUGGCAGCCGGCGUACUUGUUUCGGAGCGCAGCACAUUUUGCGAUCCAGAUCAACGUACAGCGGCAUCCAAGAAGCCUUAUUUAACGCUCUUGACCUCGGAUCAGGUAGGGAUACCCGCUGAACUUAAGCAUAUCAAUAAGCCGAGGA
RNAcentral lists this unclassified non-coding RNA (339 nucleotides) under soil metagenome. Its description in RNAcentral is "partial contains 5.8S ribosomal RNA, internal transcribed spacer 2, and large subunit ribosomal RNA". The stretch from base 1 to 120 matches the Rfam family "5.8S ribosomal RNA", at positions 35 to 154 of the family's 154-position model. The record is from RNAcentral.